AGCCUACGGGGCGCAGCAGUGGGGAAUAUUGCACAAUGGGGGAAACCCUGAUGCAGCGACGCCGCGUGAAGGAAGAAGUAUUUCGGUAUGUAAACUUCUAUCAGCAGGGAAGAAAAUGACGGUACCUGACUAAGAAGCCCCGGCUAACUACGUGCCAGCAGCCGCGGUAAUACGUAGGGGGCAAGCGUUAUCCGGAUUCACUGGGUGUAAAGGGAGCGUAGACGGCCAAGCAAGCCAGGGGUGAAAGCCCGGGGCCCAACCCCGGGACUGC
RNAcentral lists this ribosomal RNA (271 nucleotides) under uncultured bacterium. Its description in RNAcentral is "partial 16S ribosomal RNA". It matches the Rfam family "Bacterial small subunit ribosomal RNA", at positions 335 to 624 of the family's 1533-position model. The record is from RNAcentral.